Molecule: long non-coding RNA, 434 nt
Organism: Amphimedon queenslandica
Lineage: Eukaryota; Metazoa; Porifera; Demospongiae; Haplosclerida; Niphatidae
Exons: 4
Source: RefSeq, a predicted model, not a curated record
AUUAGUCAAUAAUACUAAUUAGCUCUUCAAUACCAGUCUGUCCAAUGUGUCCUAUCCCUUCUCCACUAAAGACUGACACAGCUGAUUGUCAUAGCUUCCUCAUUUAUGAUCUCUUCUACAAUGAUACAUAUGCAUUCUUGCUGGCAAUUAUCAAGUAGCCUUUCAUACUCAUUAAUUUCUAUCACAUUCAGUUAAAAGCUCAUAUCCAGACAAACAUGUACACUGAUAACUACCAAUAGUAUAAAUGAUGCCAUCAGACACACUUACAGUGGUGACUAAAAAGAGAGAGGAGAUGAAGAACAGGUUUUAUAUUAGGAUACUUAAUACCAUUGAUGCUAUACCAUCAGAAUUAUCAGUAACUAAUGUUAACAAGCCGGUAAUCAUUACAUUUGAGAGACUUCCCACUUCAACCAUCAAACUUGAUGCAGUAAAUA